RNAcentral lists this ribosomal RNA (245 nucleotides) under uncultured bacterium. RNAcentral describes it as "partial 16S ribosomal RNA". It matches the Rfam family "Bacterial small subunit ribosomal RNA", at positions 524 to 767 of the family's 1533-position model. The record is from RNAcentral.
UACAGAGGGUGCAAGCGUUAUCCGGAAUGAUUGGGCGUAAAGCGUUUGUAGGUGGUUCGUAAAGUCUAAUGUUAAAUACCAGGGCUCAACCUUGGAUCGGCAUUGGAGUACUCACGAACUUGAGUGCGGUAGAGGUAGAGGGAACUCCAUGUGGAGCGGUGAAAUGCGUAGAGAUAUGGAAGAACACCAGCGGCGAAGGCGCUCUACUGGGCCGAGACUGACACUGAGAAACGAAAGCUGGGGGA